ACACUGAUGGUGAAGUGGUUAUCAUGCUUGCCUUCCAUAAAAUCCCACUCGAUCGAGGUAGCAAGCGGCAGGGGUUCGAUUCCCCUUCAGUGUA
Non-coding RNA from Termitomyces sp. T159_Od127, 94 nucleotides. NCBI's taxonomy places the organism in Eukaryota, Fungi, Basidiomycota, Agaricomycetes, Agaricales, Lyophyllaceae. The record is from the annotation of a GenBank genome assembly.